Molecule: ribosomal RNA, 248 nt
Filed under: uncultured bacterium
Lineage: Bacteria
Description: partial 16S ribosomal RNA
Rfam family: Bacterial small subunit ribosomal RNA
Source: RNAcentral
ACGCGUAGGUAACCUGCCUUGUAGCGGGGGAUAACUAUUGGAAACGAUAGCUAAUACCGCAUAACAAUGGAUGACACAUGUCAUUUAUUUUGAAAGGGGCAAUUGCUCCACUACAAGAUGGACCUGCGUUGUAUUAGCUAGUAGGUGAGGUAAUGGCUCACCUAGGCGACGAUACAUAGCCGACCUGAGAGGGUGAUCGGCCACACUGGGACUGAGACACGGCCCAAACUCCUACGGGAGGCAGCAUG